This 1706-nucleotide long non-coding RNA is filed under the name Pongo abelii (Sumatran orangutan). Its description in RNAcentral is "lincRNA". Lineage: Eukaryota; Metazoa; Chordata; Mammalia; Primates; Hominidae. The record is from RNAcentral.
GAGGAAAAUACACAAGAUGCCAGCUUGUGAGAAGUGCUAACAAAAAAAGACACAAGUAUGUCCAGAGAGUCUGAGGUGUAUACAGUAGUUACUGGUACCCACUAUGCACCAGCCACUGUGCUGGGCACGGAUGGACACACAUCAGCCCCUGCCCGCGUGGUGGAACAGGGAUAUGGGAGAGAAAGACAACAAACAACUCGGUGUACAAACAGUCAACUACAGUGGCAAAGAUUAAAUCCUCAUACCUCUCUGGAAGAGUGGAGGGGACCACAUUCCAGCAUCUGGUGCCCUGUUUGCCCCAAACAUGACUUCAAGUGAAUCCACAUAAUACUCUUCCAGAGGGAAAGCAGAACCAUCUGCAGGGCUGAGGGACCAAGAAACACAGCGAGGAAUUCCACAGGAGGCCCACGCGGAGGGAUGUAUCACCCCAGGUGGACUCUAGGGGACGCUCACUUGGAGCUUGCAUCACCCGGAACUGUGUCUGCCACUGUGACUUCAGAGCAGCACAGACCUGAGGUGGAUCCAGCAAUGCCCACAACUGUCCAACAAUUUCACUUUUCCGAGGCUCAGUUUCCAUGUGGAAAAUGGACUGGCUCUGAGUAUUAAAUGAGAAUGAAUGUCCAUAUGUCUCACUCCUUUCUUCAUGAAAGGAAGACACCUCUGGGACUCAGAAAAAUGGUCAAUAACAUCUAGUCUUUAUUCAGUCCUAACUGCAUGACAAUACAACUAGUGUAACAGUCAUCAACAUAAGGAAUGCUCUCAAUAUUGCUCGAUGCCCUGUGCGCUAUCACUAAUAGCAACAACUGCUGUUCAUCUAUGCCACGAUAUGCACCAAAUCUACACCACUCCUUUAAGGUGUCACUGUCUCCAUUCCACAGACGAGAAAACUGAGCCUCCAGAAGAGGAAAGUGUAGAUGAGUUAAUUUUUCCCUACCCAACGUUGAUUCCUAUUCCUUCUGAUCAUGGUGCCCUGACUUCUUUUGGGAGAAUUCCCUCUUCUCUGUGACAGGCUGACUGGUGGGAUUAUCAGUCAAGGUGCCCACCUCCUCUAGCUCUCCCCAUCUCUCUCAGUCUCUGGAGUUUCUGUUUCAAGCAUAAGGACAGAAGCAUUAGAAAUGGCUGAAGCUGAUUUGCCCCAGGAGGAGGGUGGGGUCGUGUCCUGAGGAGACGCUCUUGUGGGACCCUGCUUCUUGGACUCCUUGGAUCCCAGCCCCACCCCACCCCUAGACAGCCUUAUUCUGCCUUCAGAGUCUGGUCCUUUGCUUUCCUUUAAAUUUUGAGACCCUCUUGGGUCUGCCCUUUCCCAUUUAGGUUAUAGCCAGAUUGGUUUCUGUUGCUUGCAUCCCUCAAAGUCUGCCUGACACAGGAAGUGACUCCUCCAGGGUCAUCCGGCCCAUGAGUGGCAUAGUCAGAGGAAGCCCUCCGUAACCAGGCCCCCAAGCCAGUGCUCUCUCCAUCAUGCCACAUGGCUGGCCUUGGGGUGGUCCUGCCAUAGGGAGAGCUUUCUGAGAUGGGCGGGGGGGCAGAUUAUCAUCAAAGACCUGGUGAUGGAAAGACACAUGGCAUGGCUUCAUGGUUAUGGAGCCUGCAUGGAGGCCAAUGUGCUGGAGGAGAGCUUUGAAGGCAUCCAUGGAAGCAGAUGACAGAAGCCUGAAAGCCAUGUGUGGCCACACACCUGCUUCUGCCAUAAUUGAUGAGACCCCUUU